Molecule: long non-coding RNA, 2571 nt
Organism: Rhinopithecus roxellana (golden snub-nosed monkey)
Lineage: Eukaryota; Metazoa; Chordata; Mammalia; Primates; Cercopithecidae
Exons: 3
Source: RefSeq, a predicted model, not a curated record
AGCAGCUGCCGGUAUGCUGGGGCAGGGCGGUCCCCUUCCUGUGGUUCAGGUCUGGAGAUCAAGGCCAACAGCAUGCUGUAUUAGGAUGGUCCCAGUCCAAUGACUGAUGCCCUUAUACGAGGGAAAUCUGGACACAGACACACAGAGGAGGCCAUGCAGUGGUGGAGGCAGAGAUGUGUCUACAAACCAAUGAGCGAGCAGGUCCGCCGGCCACCACCAGAAGCUGGCAGGGGUGAGGAAGUCAUUCUUCCGUGGGGGCUUCAGAGGGAGCAUGGUCCCAGUACACCUUGAGUGUUGGCCUCCCGGCCUCCAGAGCUGUGAGAAAAUCCAUGUCUGUUGUUUGAAGCCACUGAGUUUGUGGCAUUUUGUUAUGGCUGUCCCAGGAAAGAAAUACAAUCACCAAAUGUCAAACAUAGGGCAACUGGGAAAAACAAGAAGGAAAUGCAUGAGGCACGUAAAGAAAAGACUUGGAAGAGACCAAGGACGGACAGGAAGGAACGCUUCCUCAACUUCCUCCUCGCACCCUGACAGGAAGCCAGAGACCUAGUGGCUGAGCCUUGGAAGAAGUGGCUACUUUCCCCCACGCAAGAGCGGAACCCUCAAGACCAGCAAGGGGGGCACCUGAGAACAGAAAGCAGAGUCGCACCCACAUCCUGGGCAGGCUGACUCAGUUGCUUGAAUCCUGCCUCUAGGGCCAAGGUCACCAUUUGAUCCUGGUCUGGGCCAGCUUUGUCCUAAUGGAGGAAAGCUUGGAACCAUGAAUCCUGGUUGGUCAUCUCCUGCUUGACUGUUUUGCUCACAAUGGGAACCUGGUCUGGGGUGAUGCACUAUCACUCAUCGCUCCACUGAAAGAUGUGCCCGGUGCACAUCCCCAGGACUGUGUUACCCAUCACCUUUACGCAUGGGACUCAGAAUGCACAGAGCGGUGUGUGCAUGCGGCAACGUGUAUACACUGUGUGCGUCUGGGAGGUGCUCUCAUCAUCUCUGGCCGCAUCCUGCAGAGGGUCCUGCAGCCUCUACCUGGCUUCUGGCUCUUUAUUUAUGUAUUCAUCUAUUUUAGAUGGAGUCUUGCUCUGUCUCCAGGCUGGAGUGCAGUGGAGUGAUCUCGGCUUAUUGCGACUUCCGCGACCCAGAUUCGAGUGAUUCUCCCGCUUCAGUCUCCCAAGUAGCUGGGACUACAGGCAUGCAGCACUGUCAGCAGUUAAUUUUUUUGUAUUUUUAGUAGAAACGGGGUUUCUCCAUGUUGGCCAGGCUGGUCUUGAACUCCUGACCUCAGGUGAUCCCCUGACCUUGGCCUCCCAAAGGGCUGGAAUUGCAGAGGUGCCUCUUUUAAUUGACUCCUCUCUAGGCAUCUCUCCUUCCAGCCACAGAGACUGGCCUGAUGGUUCCAGGGCCCCAGGUGAAGGCCUCUCUCCUCCCCCACUCAGGUCUGACCAGCUCUGUUUCCAUCCUGGUAUAGGCACAAGGUCUCUUGCUGCAGCUGGGCCAGUUUGCUGACCUUCUCAGCUCCUUCUCUUAGACUGGAGAGGCCUGGAAGGGUGCCUGAGGGAGGGUCUGGGCUGCUCUCCUGGGCUCCUCCCCUUCCACUCCAGGGCUCUGGCUGGAGCCUGGUCAGGGUCCUUACUGAGUUCUCAGCUAAGCCCCAGCCCUGUGACGGCCUGAGGGGUCUGGUGGGGAGGCCCCAAAGUGAGGGCUCCAUAGCCUUCCACUGUCCCUCCCCCAGCAUUGGGCAGUGCAAGCAGUCUCUGAAGGUCUUCUGGGUAGCCUUCCUUCCAUGCCCUCUUGCCUACUUUCACCAGGUGGCCAAGGGACACUAAAAAAGGCAGUGAAUAGCUAGAGGACCACUCUUGAAAGUCAGCCUGCCUCCCUCCUGGUGCCAGCUCCUCUCCCUCCAGCCUCCUUUUCAUAGAAUUCUACAAGAGGAAACAGAGAGGUCAUCUCCUCCACCGUCACUAAGUUUCCAGAAAGGAUGGGUUAGAGGGAUUUGGCAUUCUCUGAGGCUUCAGGCCAAACCUUGGACAUUGGGCUGGUCAGAGAUCUUGCUGGGGUUUCCUUGGGAAUUGUAUAUCCAUUGGGAGCACUAGCCCUGAACACCUGGGGCUCCCUACCUGCUAGGAGCUGGGAGGACUCUGGUGUUCCCUGUAAUCCCUCAGGGUCUAGGUGGAUGGAAUGGCAGCCCAGGACUGUUCCCCAGGCUGACCCGGACUCUAAUGAUAGCCAAGAGUGGACUUAGCUGUCAUUUAGAUCCCUGAGGGAGCCUUCACAGUAGCUGCUAAGCGGAGGCCCUGGCAGUGGAGAGGGUUCUCACACGUAGGAGAGGCAGUACUUAAGCAAGUAGCAAUGGAAAGGGCACUGGAUUUGACGUCAGCAGAGAGGUGGUCUAUUUCUGCUUUGCUCACUACUUAUCUGUGAUCUGAGGCAAGCCUAACCCUCUACAGCUUAGUUUACUCAUCUGGAAAGUGUGGUAUAUUUUAUUUUACCUGCCUUACAUCUGAGGCAUGGAGGGAGGACGAAAUGGGAUCACCUAUUAAAAUGCAUUUUGAAAAAACAGAAGUGCUAUUUAUGCAAACA